RNAcentral lists this long non-coding RNA (896 nucleotides) under Parus major (Great Tit). RNAcentral's name for it is "lncRNA (ENSPMJG00000010567.1)". The record is from RNAcentral. Lineage: Eukaryota; Metazoa; Chordata; Aves; Passeriformes; Paridae.
CGUGCUGGAAAGAAAAAUCCCCAGUGACUUCACCCAGCUUGGCUUGUGGUGGUUACUCACAAUGAGGUAACUUUUUUUCUUUUUUUUUUUUUUCUUUUUCUUUUUUUUUUUAAGGUCUGCAUGCUUAAUGCUACAUCUGAGUUUUUGCAUAUGAGUGAAACUGCAGCUCAGGGACUGAUUUCAGGGAGUUUUCUCUGCAGAGUAAUUUUGGUGAGUAAACACAGAUAAGAGGAAGCUGGGUUAAUCCAAUAACUCCUCCCUCAAGGGCAGGUGCAGCAAUGUGGCUCAAGGUACAGAACAGAGGAAAUGCCUUGUUGACACAGGUGAUCAGAGCAAAGUGGCCAAAAUUGAUAGAAUGAUAUGAGUUUGCAAUGCAAAGCCCCGUUUUCUCAAGGCUACUAUUUGCAGCCCUCCACAGCACAUCUCUGGUCUUUCACCUCCCUUUGGUGAGGCAUCCUGUUGUGGGUGACUUCUGAGCUCCUCUUCAUGAUCUCUCAGUAGCUGCAUUGCUACAGUGUAGCUUGGACUGCGUUGUGUUAACCUGAGAGGAUUAUUAAAAUAAACUCUGAGUCAUAUUUGAGCUGUUCUUGUCCUGAUCUCUCUCCAGCCUUUCCACUGCUAUUACAGCUCUGGUAUCCUGUAGCAAGUAAGAACAUAACAUUACAACUGUUCACACGUGGGAGAUGGAGGAACUGCAUUAAGAGCCCAUCAGAUAGGAAGACUUGGUGUGAGAACCAUAUGGAAGGGAAGAAGUAUCCUAGACCCAAGAUGCAAGUUUAUGGAUUGCAAGACAGGAGGCCCAACACUGAAACAGCAUCUAACAAAAUGGAUGUGAUUGCAUGUGAAGCUACUUCAGAAUGAAGCUCAUGGUCCUGGAUCUCUUUCGUGAAUAUAUG